This 76-nucleotide transfer RNA is filed under the name Trichonephila inaurata madagascariensis. Its description in RNAcentral is "tRNA-Gln". It matches the Rfam family "tRNA". From Rfam's summary of the family: Transfer RNA (tRNA) molecules are approximately 80 nucleotides in length. Lineage: Eukaryota; Metazoa; Arthropoda; Arachnida; Araneae; Nephilidae. The record is from RNAcentral.
GGGUCUAUGGUGUAAAGGUUAGCAUUCUGGACUCUGAAUCCAGCGAUCCGAGUUUAAAUCUCGGUGGAUCGUUACA